GCUCCGCUCCCCCCAGGCCUCAACCCCGCUGGCUACCCGCGCUGAAACCUCACCUGCCGCCGGCUGCAAACGGACUGCGCUCCAGGUUCUGCCAAAACAAGUGAUUGCAACAUAUAAUUGGACCAGCAACUAGAUGAUGUGACUCUUCUCUUCUGCCUGAGCCCUGGAUAUACUGUGUAUUAUGACACAUGGCUGAGUCCAACAUCAAGGUGAUGUGACUGACCACUUCUGCCUGGGCCAUGCCGAAAAAAGGAGAUUGUGACAUAUCACUGCAUUCAAUACCUAGAUGAUGCAUUGUGAAGACUCUGUUUCUCUAGCUGUGCAGCUGCAAGAUCACUAGACAGAUCAACUCAAGUCAUAAAACAUGUUUUUCCUUGAAAAGGUUUCGCCGUGUUGGCCGGACUGGUCUGCAGCUCCUGACCACGAGUGAUCUGCUAGCCUCGGCCUCCCGAGGUGCCGGGAUUGCAGACGGAGUCUCGCUCACUUAGUGCUCAAUGUUGCCCAGGCUGGA
Molecule: long non-coding RNA, 511 nt
Filed under: Homo sapiens (human)
Lineage: Eukaryota; Metazoa; Chordata; Mammalia; Primates; Hominidae
Description: HSALNT0396656
Source: RNAcentral